This 24-nucleotide non-coding RNA is filed under the name Arabidopsis thaliana (thale cress). The record is from RNAcentral. Lineage: Eukaryota; Viridiplantae; Streptophyta; Magnoliopsida; Brassicales; Brassicaceae.
GACUUGUUUGACGAAGAUGUGCGU